UGCAAGUCGAACGGUAACAGGAAGAAGCUUGCUUCUUUGCUGACGAGUGGCGGACGGGUGAGUAAUGUCUGGGAAACUGCCUGAUGGAGGGGGAUAACUACUGGAAACGGUAGCUAAUACCGCAUAACGUCGCAAGACCAAAGAGGGGGACCUUCGGGCCUCUUGCCAUCGGAUGUGCCCAGAUGGGAUUAGCUAGUAGGUGGGGUAACGGCUCACCUAGGCGACGAUCCCUAGCUGGUCUGAGAGGAUGACCAGCCACACUGGAACUGAGACACGGUCCAGACUCCUACGGGAGGCAGCAGUGGGGAAUAUUGCACAAUGGGCGCAAGCCUGAUGCAGCCAUGCCGCGUGUAUGAAGAAGGCCUUCGGGUUGUAAAGUACUUUCAGCGGGGAGGAAGGGAGUAAAGUUAAUACCUUUGCUCAUUGACGUUACCCGCAGAAGAAGCACCGGCUAACUCCGUGCCAGCAGCCGCGGUAAUACGGAGGGUGCAAGCGUUAAUCGGAAUUACUGGGCGUAAAGCGCACGCAGGCGGUUUGUUAAGUCAGAUGUGAAAUCCCCGGGCUCAACCUGGGAACUGCAUCUGAUACUGGCAAGCUUGAGUCUCGUAGAGGGGGGUAGAAUUCCAGGUGUAGCGGUGAAAUGCGUAGAAAUCUGGAGGAAUACCGGUGGCGAAGGCGGC
Molecule: ribosomal RNA, 680 nt
Filed under: uncultured Pseudomonadota bacterium
Lineage: Bacteria; Pseudomonadati; Pseudomonadota
Description: bacterial SSU rRNA
Rfam family: Bacterial small subunit ribosomal RNA
Source: RNAcentral